Molecule: long non-coding RNA, 1375 nt
Organism: Rattus norvegicus (Norway rat)
Lineage: Eukaryota; Metazoa; Chordata; Mammalia; Rodentia; Muridae
Source: RefSeq, a predicted model, not a curated record
GGUAAGCAAGGAAUGACUAUUUAAGAGGAUAAAGUUAACCCAAGAUAAACUGAAAUCAAGCUUCAGAUCUGCAACAUUCCAAUCUCUCUAGAAUCAUUGAUGUUCUAUUCGUGCAAUCAGCCUUCUAGAAUGUUCAAUGGGAGGUUUAGCUCUUUCUGACACUCUUCUUCAGCUUCGUCUCAGUGUGGGCUUUCCUAGAAAAAGAUUGGAGAAAGAUCCAGCUAUAAGUGAUGCCAUUCUAAUGUGGUCUUGGGACACUUGUGUGGAGAGGAAACGAGGCAGGAAAGAACAAGCAGCCACUCCAGGCUGUGUCUUCAUGCAGGUCACCGUGGGAACACAGAGUGCUGUGGAAUUAGAAUAACACUGAAGACCACUCUUUAGAGUCAUUCCACCCUGUGUUACAAAGACCUAGGAUACCAACCAUUCAUGCCUACCAGUCACUGGAUGAGAGCUGCUGCCAGGGUACUCUAAAUUCUGACUUUCUCAUCUGAUAUGCAUCCCACUGCAGCUUUCUACCAUGAGAGGAUGUCCUCAAGUGAAGAGAUAGAUACAGAUGCUGUAAUUGUAACAUAAGGACAGGUGGGAAGAAGGUGAGGUACAAACAGUGUCUGCUGAGAGAUGCUGUUAGAACUUUCCAGAGAAACAGAACCAAUGGGAUAUAGGUUCACAAAGAAUUUUUUUUAUAAAGAACUGACUCACAUGAACACAGAGAAGUUCCCAGAACUGCAGUUGAUAGGCUGUGGAAAGCCAACGGUGAGAGUUCAGUCUAAAAGGCUGCAAGGUCGUGACCCACAAGCAUCUGGGAGCUCAGCUCAAAGAACGGUAGCAGCUGGAACAAGAGGGUCAGUAGUUCAGUGCUAUCCAGACCUUCCAUGGACAGGAUGGGGUCCACCAACAGAAUGGGGCCCACCCGUAUUGAAGAGGGCUGGCUACUUUUCCCAGAUGAUUGUGACCUCGAGCUCCUGCCGCCAUGCCUUCCCCACCAUGAUGGACUGUACCCUAGAACUGUGAGACAGACACUAAUGUAGUGACCCCAUCCAUCAAUCAGAUUCCAAAACCACUGUGAUGGUGUUAGAAAAUGGGCCUUCGUGAGAUGAAGAGUCAGACGAGACUGUACCUUUAUGAAAGAUCUCAGAGAGAAGCUCGUCAUCUGAGGAAGUCAAAAGACAGUGGGACCCAAAGCCUAAAUGAGAAGACACCUUGCCCCUGUACAUCCCAGCUUCUGAAUCAUGAGAAAUGACUUGUCUAUUAGCAUCCAACCCAUGGUAGCCUGUUACAGCAGCUCCAACAGCCCAAGGCACUGAGUGAAUGCAGUAAGCUGGCUGGUCUGUGUGGACAUGUGCUACAAAUGAAACAGUAAAUUGUUAUUGUUACA